Molecule: ribosomal RNA, 431 nt
Filed under: uncultured bacterium
Lineage: Bacteria
Description: partial 16S ribosomal RNA
Rfam family: Bacterial small subunit ribosomal RNA
Source: RNAcentral
AACGAACGCUGGCGGCAGGCCUAACACAUGCAAGUCGAGCGCCCCGCAAGGGGAGCGGCGGACGGGUGAGUAACGCGUGGGAACGUACCCUUUGCUACGGAAUAGCCUCGGGAAACUGGGAGUAAUACCGUAUGUGUCCUUCGGGAGGAAGAUUUAUCGGCAAGGGAUCGGCCCGCGUUGGAUUAGGUAGUUGGUGGGGUAAUGGCCUACCAAGCCGACGAUCCAUAGCUGGUUUGAGAGGAUGAUCAGCCACACUGGGACUGAGACACGGCCCAGACUCCUACGGGAGGCAGCAGUGGGGAAUCUUAGACAAUGGGCGCAAGCCUGAUCUAGCCAUGCCGCGUGAGCGAUGAAGGCCUUAGGGUUGUAAAGCUCUUUCAGGGGGGAAGAUAAUGACUGUACCCCCAGAAGAAGCCCCGGCUAACUCCGUG